AUGACGUCUUUGAGUGCCCCCAAGGACAAGUUCUUCAAGAAGUUCAUCAACCCCUACCUCGCGGAGGUGCUGCAACACCCUCAAACCAUUGAGAUGCGUGAGGGGUUGCUGCAUAUCCGUGAUGUCGAGGGACCAAGGAGGACUGGAAGUGUGGAGACAAGAGUCGAAGCAAUGGAGCAACAAGUUUUCAAGUGCCAGGAGAUGGUGGAACGUGGACUCGACGCCAACCACAUAAUGAUCACGGUGUUCACUAGCAACACCAAGGUAGAUGCCAGGAACAUCGGGGAGACCAUCUUCAAGCUUCACGAGAAAAUUGAGCACUCCAAGCCCAGAUCUAUGGCCUGCAAAACAAAAACUGUAAGUAUGAAUAUAGAUUCAAGAGGAUGA
This 387-nucleotide ribosomal RNA is filed under the name Triticum aestivum (bread wheat). RNAcentral describes it as "partial small subunit ribosomal RNA". The record is from RNAcentral. Lineage: Eukaryota; Viridiplantae; Streptophyta; Magnoliopsida; Poales; Poaceae.